This 73-nucleotide transfer RNA is filed under the name Zea mays. It matches the Rfam family "tRNA". From Rfam's summary of the family: Transfer RNA (tRNA) molecules are approximately 80 nucleotides in length. Their secondary structure includes four short double-helical elements and three loops (D, anti-codon, and T loops). Further hydrogen bonds mediate the characteristic L-shaped molecular structure. tRNAs have two regions of fundamental functional importance: the anti-codon, which is responsible for specific mRNA codon recognition, and the 3' end, to which the tRNAs corresponding amino acid is attached (by aminoacyl-tRNA synthetases). tRNAs cope with the degeneracy of the genetic code in two manners: having more than one tRNA (with a specific anti-codon) for a particular amino acid; and 'wobble' base-pairing, i.e. permitting non-standard base-pairing at the 3rd anti-codon position. The record is from Rfam by way of RNAcentral. Lineage: Eukaryota; Viridiplantae; Streptophyta; Magnoliopsida; Poales; Poaceae.
GCCUGUCUAGCUCAAUCAGUACAGCGUAAGGCACUUAACCUUGUGGUUGUGGGUUCGAGCCCCACGGUGGGUG